AGAGUUUGAUCAUGGCUCAGGACGAACGCUGGCGGCGUGCUUAACACAUGCAAGUCGAACGGGAUCCAUACGUUGGAGUCUUCGGACGAAGAUGUAUGGUGAGAGUGGCGGACGGGCGAGUAACGCGUGAGCAACCUGCCCUAUGCAGGGGGAUAACACCGGGAAACUGGUGCUAAUACCGCAUAAGACCACACUGGCACAUGUCAGAGUGGUAAAAGCUCCGGCGGCAUAGGAUGGGCUCGCGUCCAAUUAGCUUGUUGGUAGGGUAACGGCCUACCAAGGCGACGAUUGGUAGCCGAACUGAGAGGUUGGUCGGCCGCAUUGGGACUGAGACACGGCCCAGACUCCUACGGGAGGCAGCAGUGGAGAAUAUUGCGCAAUGGGGGAAACCCUGACGCAGCGACGCCGCGUGAAGGAAGAAGGCCUUCGGGUUGUAAACUUCUUUGGUCGGGGACGAAGAUGACGGUACCCGAAUAACAAGCCACGGCUAACUACGUGCCAGCAGCCGCGGUAAUACGUAGGUGGCGAGCGUUGUCCGGAAUUACUGGGUGUAAAGGGCGUGUAGGCGGGGUGCCAAGUUAGGUGUGAAAUUCCGAGGCUUAACUUCGGGUGUGCAUCUGAAACUGGUGCUCUUGAGUGUCGGAGAGGAAAGUGGAAUUCCCAGUGUAGCGGUGAAAUGCGUAGAGAUUGGGAGGAACACCAGUGGCGAAGGCGGCUUUCUGGACGACAACUGACGCUGAGGCGCGAAAGCGUGGGGAGCAAACAGGAUUAGAUACCCUGGUAGUCCACGCCGUAAACGAUGGAUACUAGGUGUAGGAGGUAUCGACCCCUUCUGUGCCGGAGUUAACACAAUAAGUAUCCCACCUGGGGAGUACGGCCGCAAGGCUGAAACUCAAAUGAAUUGACGG
Molecule: ribosomal RNA, 908 nt
Filed under: uncultured bacterium
Lineage: Bacteria
Description: bacterial SSU rRNA
Rfam family: Bacterial small subunit ribosomal RNA
Source: RNAcentral